AUUGAACGCUGGCGGCAGGCUUAACACAUGCAAGUCGAACGAGUGGCGGACGGUUGAGUAAUGCUUGGGAAUCUGGCUUAUGGAGGGGGAUAACGACGGGAAACUGUCGCUAAUACCGCGUACCAUAGGAUGAGCCCAAGUGGGAUUAGGUAGUUGGUGGGGUAAUGGCCUACCAAGCCGACGAUCUCUAGCUGGUCUGAGAGGAUGACCAGCCAGGACGGGACUGAGACACGGCCCGGACUCCAACGGGAGGCAGCAGUGGGGAAUAUGGCGCAUGGGGGGCAACCUGAUGGAGCAAUGCCGCGUGAAUGAAGAAGCCCUUCGGGUUGUAAGGUUAUUUCGGUGACGAGGCGUUAAUCACAGAAGAAGCACCGGCUAACUCCGUGCCAGCCGCCGCGGUAAUAC
RNAcentral lists this ribosomal RNA (405 nucleotides) under uncultured bacterium. RNAcentral describes it as "partial 16S ribosomal RNA". It matches the Rfam family "Bacterial small subunit ribosomal RNA", at positions 30 to 526 of the family's 1533-position model. The record is from RNAcentral.